AUGAACUCUGCAAUGCCAGUGAAGAAAUUUCAAAGUUGCAAAAGGUAUUAGAUAGCAAGAAGAUCGUUGCCGCUCUCAAGGAUGUACAACAGUGAGGUAUCUAAGUGACUGCUCCCAUCACCAACGUCAGCUCAAAAGAGUCUCUUCCGAUCACCCAUGGCGAAAGAUCUCGAUCAAAAGAGCGAGAACCAAAAGGUCGAUUUUCGAUGGG
This 211-nucleotide long non-coding RNA is filed under the name Elaeis guineensis (African oil palm). RNAcentral describes it as "long non-coding RNA (EGUI_LNC007343)". The record is from RNAcentral. Lineage: Eukaryota; Viridiplantae; Streptophyta; Magnoliopsida; Arecales; Arecaceae.